CAUCAGAAGGCGAAGAAGAAGAAGAAACUACA
This 32-nucleotide small RNA is filed under the name Arabidopsis thaliana (thale cress). RNAcentral describes it as "ATSL004580". The record is from RNAcentral. Lineage: Eukaryota; Viridiplantae; Streptophyta; Magnoliopsida; Brassicales; Brassicaceae.